This is a long non-coding RNA of Aegilops tauschii subsp. strangulata, 688 nucleotides long. RefSeq lists it as uncharacterized. NCBI's taxonomy places the organism in Eukaryota, Viridiplantae, Streptophyta, Magnoliopsida, Poales, Poaceae. The record is from RefSeq and is a predicted model, not a curated record.
UUAUAAUAAAUUUUUUGUUCACUUAUUUUCUCACUGAAAAAUAAUGCUUUGGCCUUUUAUGUCACUUGUUUGGUUGACUGUAUAUUAACUCAUUGUAGUUAUCUUUUGAUGUGUUGAUUGGCAGCUUUUAUUAUGAAGCUAAGCUUCUAGACACACAUCUGAUCUGGUAGUUAUUUGUAUGAGUUGACAAGACAUUCGACAUGAAGCUAUUAGAAUACACAUCGUUCGACUGUGUAAAUGUGUUCUUAAAUGAACCAAACCUUUGUGAAUGUACAAUCAGGGGGAGCCUUGAUGCCUUCUCAUGUAAGAGUAAGAUCCACAAAAUUUUGAUAACUUGAGUCCAUUACAUCAUGACAAUAGGGUGAAGCUCCACUUUAAUUUGCAGGCAAAGCAUGCAGGAAAUGAUUGUUGGCUUUCAAUAAGCUUUGAAUAUGAGGUACAUACUUUCCAUAAGCCUAUGAUUUACAACAACUGCUUUUCUUUUAGCGCUGAUGUUGAUAAGUAGGCAUUGACGUGUUAGUUAUAUAUAGUUCGUAUUGCCAAAUAUGUAGUUCAUGAACUGUUCUCAUUGACGUGAUAUUUCGAGUUCUAGUUGACAUAUCUUGGAUACAGUUAUACGAAACGAGGAAUUAUAGGGUGCGUCGCAAAACAAAUGUUUAAUAUAUCCAAAACAACAAAACAACAAAAA